This 31-nucleotide non-coding RNA is filed under the name Mus musculus (house mouse). The record is from RNAcentral. Lineage: Eukaryota; Metazoa; Chordata; Mammalia; Rodentia; Muridae.
UGACAAAGCUUUUGAAAGUCAAAAUUCCCAA